This 575-nucleotide unclassified non-coding RNA is filed under the name Hevea brasiliensis (rubber tree). The record is from RNAcentral. Lineage: Eukaryota; Viridiplantae; Streptophyta; Magnoliopsida; Malpighiales; Euphorbiaceae.
GGAAAAUCAUCCGUUCUUAUGGACGUUAAGCCUUGGGAUGAUGAAACCGAUAUGAAGAAACUGGAGGAGGCUGUUCGCAGUGUUCAGAUGGACGGGCUUCUCUGGGGAGCAUCCAAAUUGGUCCCAGUUGGAUACGGGAUUAAGAAAUUGCAGAUCAUGCUUACCAUCGUGGAUGACCUCGUCUCUGUGGAUACCCUCAUUGAGGAACGUCUAACAGAGGAACCUAUCAACGAAUACGUCCAGAGCUGUGAUAUUGUUGCCUUCAACAAAAUUUAAGGUCAACACAGAGAUGGAACUUCCUAUCCAGAUUUAGCCUUGUCUGGCUGUAUUUUUGCUAGUUUUUGAGUUAUUUUGAUACUCUAUCGUCGUCGUUCUUUUUCGUUCAAGUGCCUUUAGUCAUGAGAAUGAGAAUUUAACUGUGAAAGCAUAUGGAACUGAGAAUUAAGAUCAUCAAUUAUAGCUUUUCUUUUUUGCUUUUUCUGUCACAGUAAUUUUGGAUCUCUCAAUUUGUUUUUCCUAAUCAGUGGCAGUGUAAACCAGCAAUAAGUUGGCAGAUGAUUGUUGAUUACGCGUUU